UGGCGAGUGGCCAAGCGGUAAGGCGCCUGACUCUGGAUCAGGAGAUCGAAGGUUCGAAUCCUUCCUCGCCAGCCA
Molecule: transfer RNA, 75 nt
Filed under: Actinoplanes sp.
Lineage: Bacteria; Bacillati; Actinomycetota; Actinomycetes; Micromonosporales; Micromonosporaceae
Also listed under: 13 other names
Description: tRNA-Gln
Rfam family: tRNA
About the family: Transfer RNA (tRNA) molecules are approximately 80 nucleotides in length. Their secondary structure includes four short double-helical elements and three loops (D, anti-codon, and T loops).
Source: RNAcentral